RNAcentral lists this ribosomal RNA (512 nucleotides) under uncultured bacterium. RNAcentral's name for it is "partial 16S ribosomal RNA". It matches the Rfam family "Bacterial small subunit ribosomal RNA", at positions 28 to 523 of the family's 1533-position model. The record is from RNAcentral.
GACGAACGCUGGCGGCGUGCCUAAUACAUGCAAGUCGAGCGGACAGAUGGGAACUUGCUCCCGGAAGUCAGCGGCGGACGGGUGAGUAACACGUGGGCAACCUGCCUGUAAGACUGGGAUAACUUCGGGAAACCGGAGCUAAUACCGGAUACGUUCUUUUCUCGCAUGAGAGAAGAUGGAAAGAUGGUUUCGGCUAUCACUUACAGAUGGGCCCGCGGCGCAUUAGCUAGUUGGUGAGGUAAUGGCUCACCAAGGCGACGAUGCGUAGCCGACCUGAGAGGGUGAUCGGCCACACUGGGACUGAGACACGGCCCAGACUCCUACGGGAGGCAGCAGUAGGGAAUCUUCCGCAAUGGACGAAAGUCUGACGGAGCAACGCCGCGUGAACGAUGAAGGCCUUCGGGUCGUAAAGUUCUGUUGUUAGGGAAGAACAAGUACCAGAGUAACUGCUGGUACCUUGACGGUACCCAACCAGAAAGCCACGGCUAACUACGUGCCAGCCGCCGCAGUAA